GCAGGAGAUUUUUUAAUGCUCUCUAGGUGAUUCUGAUGUCAGCAAAGAUGGAGAACCACUGAUGUAGUCAAUGAGAAGUAAUAGGGGUUAUUUUUCAGAACAGCGUUUUGAGUUAAUUUGAAAGGAGGGAAAAUCUCAGGGCGAAGGUUAUUGUGGUGAGGUUAUAAGGUGAGGUCAAAGGUUAGCAAGGAGGUCUGGGUGGGCAUGGGGUCAGUUACACAGUAUGCUCUUAAAUGAUAGCGGGUAAAGUGAGCUGAACUUAAUCUGAAAAAAAAAAAAAAAGGAGUUCUGGCAUCCUAAGGUGGUGUUCAGCAAAGGGCAGUGUCAGGACAGUACCUCAGCUGAAGACCUUCAGGUCCAUGGAAGACAGUGCAUGGAUUAUUCUGAAGAAUGACUUUCCGACAAUCUGCCCCCAGCUGUGUGUUGCAAUGCGCGUGGCGGAGCUGCGCUUCCAAAGAGGCUGGCUCAGUGGGGCUGCGGUGAUGUCUCCUUCCAGGUCCCAGCAUGGAUGACCCUGUUCUUCUUGGGGCUUUUCUUCAAAGCGCUCCACCUGGUUUUGCAAAUAACUAUUACAGACCUUUCCUGCAGCAAGUCUAGGGGAGACAAGUCAAACAACGGCAGCAGAUGUUCUCCAGCCUUCGAAACCAACGAGUCUCCACACUUGUCAGCUGACGUGGCUCACAGGGUCCAGGAUUAACAGCACAGGCCUCUGUGAUUUGUCUGGUGAAGUAACACGGCAGCUCACAGAGGUUUAAUCAUUGCCCACUGGCCCCACCAAAAUAGCACAGGAGAUUAUGAAACUCCUUAUGCUUCACAGAGUGACAGCUGUGUGGCCCUCGUAGACUCCUCUCCCUCGAGAUCCACUCAGGAGGACUCUGCUGGGCUGUUCUCACAGUCUCGGCGGCUUAGCCAAGGAAGAGCUUCAUUUCUCGGGGCUGGGCUCACACUAUGUGCAUCCCGAGCCCACUUCCUAGGCCUGAGGCCUUCCUGGCAGCUCCUCCUAACUGCCGGGCUGGCUGUUCUCAGGAAGGAGCCUACAGGGACACAUCUCAGCUGCACGUUCUCACAUAUGCCCAAGGCUGCCAAGCAGCGUCCAGUGAGCUGUGUGCUGGAGGCUGUGCCCAGGCUCCCCUGCCAAGCCCCCAGGCCCUUAAUGAGGGGUGGGACCCAUGGGAGUUGUUUGCAUUAGUCCAUGGCAGCAUCCUCAGCAGCCCACCAUGAACCUUUCCUGGGCCUGAGUUAACGACCUGCUAUGGCUCCCACUUGCCUCCCAGCCAGGCCAGUGGGUUCCUUCCCAGCACCAGCCUGCUCUGCAAUUCAGACCAGGGCACACUUCAACCCAGACACUCAAAGAUGCCCUCCUGAGUCGUGGCACCCAGGUUAGCAUAUGGUCCUCUAGAAAGGGGACUGGGAAACUGCCCAGCAUGGAGUCCAAAUUCAGCUAGUAAAGAUGGGAAGACAAUUUUCUUCUGGAUCCCGCUAUUGACUUCCUUCAGCAGUUCUCAGAAAACUACAGUUGGACAGAGAAGUGCCAGUUUCUGUCUGCCUUUGGACAGAACCUGCUAUACCUCUACUAAAUGACCAUCUGGCUCCAGACCCCUCAGGGUCAGCUGAUUCCCGUAAAUCCAUGGUCUUCCAUCAGGGAGGUUCAUGGGACUCCCCAUCAGGGAGGGGGAACGGGCUCCACCGGCCGAGAUUUGAGUUCGAUGAGUCUGGGUCAGGGUUGACACACAGUUCCUCACCCCCAUAACCCAAAGCCUUGAAUUUCAUAGACAUAAAGGAAAGACAGAAGGGAACUUGAGAAAUGAUCUCAGUUGACAGAAGACAGUCUCACCCGAUAGGGGACCAUCAGCUCACGGGUUUCAGCUAAAGAUCAGCAGAGGUGACAUGCUGCAGAGCCGAAUGGAGCAAGUAAUUGGCACUUCUCCGGCCUGCUUCAUCCUCUCCUUCGCUGGAGAGACAUCACUAGAUAUCAGGAAUCACUAGGCAGGAAUCUCCUCAUAAUUAGUCCCCAGGACAGCCAAGUUCUUGCCACCUGGGGAACAAAGGCAACCCCUGGGGUCUGUCAGGUGCAACUCACGGCCAGGACCUCAGUGGGAGGCUGGCUAGAGGCAGCCACCCCAAAGCCAGAGGACUCACCCCUCCUAAAGGGAUGCUGCGCUCAGUCCUGAUGGGGACGGGGGCAGGGGAUGUGUGCGGGGACAGCCUGACCAUAGCUCAGCAGGAAGCAAGCCAUGUAUUUAUUUAUGGUGAGGACCACAUUUCACCCUCGGUUUAGCUGGCUCCAAGCGAGCAGUGCAAUCUCAGCUCUGGGAGGAAGUUUGUGGUUCGCUUU
RNAcentral lists this long non-coding RNA (2335 nucleotides) under Equus asinus (donkey). RNAcentral's name for it is "lncRNA (ENSEASG00005028879.1)". Lineage: Eukaryota; Metazoa; Chordata; Mammalia; Perissodactyla; Equidae. The record is from RNAcentral.